This is a long non-coding RNA of Haplochromis burtoni (Burton's mouthbrooder), 1746 nucleotides long. RefSeq lists it as uncharacterized. The transcript is spliced from 2 exons. NCBI's taxonomy places the organism in Eukaryota, Metazoa, Chordata, Actinopteri, Cichliformes, Cichlidae. The record is from RefSeq and is a predicted model, not a curated record.
GACUCAGUGAAUCAAAUGACUCAAAAAACCCGAUUCACUUUGGUGAGUGACUCAUUAAAACUCGAUUCAGUAAAAAGAAUCAAAUUUACCAUCACUAUCCUGAUCAUUUAUAAUAAAGAACUAAAUCUGUACAUAAUUCCUGUGGAUUUUGUAUUUAGUCUUGAGAAACAGCCUCAGUGGUGAGCAGUUCAGUGACAGAAGGACGUCCUAUCUCGGGAGACAACGAGACAGGAGACACAAACGUUGAGCACAGGAUAGCGGAGUUCGGAGCCUUGCCCCUGCGGGGAUUUUAUUGUUGUUUUCAUGUGAAAUAAUUUAUUUUUUAGAAACUUAGUUUUUAUAUUCUUUAUUGCCUUGAAUCCUCCACUGAUCUUCCGGUUUUAGAAGGGUUUUUCUUCACAGAGAACACCUCAUGACAAUCCCAAGGUGUUGUAGGCAUGUCACGAUUUGAACUUUAUUCUCAACAUCAACUUUUUUUUCUUCUUAAUUUGCCCCUAAUAAUACAUCGUAACAUUCACUACAGACUGAAUAUGGGUUAUUUUUAUCUACCCAGGAUAAAUAAACUUACUGCUGUGGUGAAAUAAAGUUUCUAAAAAAUGAGUCAACACUACACGUGAGCAAAAACAACACAGAAAAACUCCACAACUGCGUGGAAUCCCCCCCCACCUCAUAUCAUGGCGGAUGGUGCGAUUAUAUAUUUGCUUUCUCUUCUAAUGGUCUGUUCUGAAGGUAAGCUGUGUUCAGUAUUCUCUGUUUUGUUUUUAAAGCUGUUUUGUGGAUGGGAGAAGAAAAAACGUUUCACUCGUAAUUAUUAGAAACUGAUCUCAAAGAGGUCACAAGUAUGAUUUUUGUUUUUCAUCUGAAGCCAUGAGAGAUUCUAUACGAACAGUGGAGACAUUAGAUUUUAUUUCUGUGAAUAUGGAUUAUUUUCAUUAAGCGUUUACUGCAGCUGAUGCUCCACACGGAAGAAAAAACUGUUCUUAAUACUGGUUUAAUGAACAUGUUUGUUAAUUAAUUUUCUCUUCCCAUAUUUUUUUUACUCUACAACAUUAUCACUGGAGUAUACCCAAUACACCAUUCUAGUAUUCAUUAAAAUCUUCAGCAGUCAGGAGAUGUUUGGUACAGUAUGAGUAUUGUUCAUUUUGUAAAAACAUAAUGUUUAAUUGAUUCCCACUUUUUAUGUUAGAUAACAAAAUAUGAGAUAGGCCAUUUUCAUACUACAACUAAGAAUUACUAUUAUCAUUAUUUUUUCCCUGUCCUGUCCAGAACUGUAGUAAUCAGAAUUACUGUCUGAAAGCCAAGAAAAAUGGCCAACAGAUUUAUUUUGCGAAGUGGACCUUAUGCUAUACUGGUCCACUUGAUUGUUAUACACUGUAAAAAAAAAAAAUACAGUACAAUCUACUGUAUAAACGUGAAGGAAUUUUCCGUAUUAGUCAUUUACAGGUAUUUUUCUGUAUGUCUUGACUACUGCAAUGCAUUGUGGGAAAAAGAACCCGAAAAGGAGGGAAAAGUAAGAGCAAAAGCAGCCAUUAGGCUUCUUUCAGGCUUCAUCUGGAUUUUGAACUCUGGAGUUGGAGAAACUGCUUUAAAAUCUCUGUGGUAAGUAUUAAAACUCAUGUUUUCUUUUAUUAAAAUAAUGUUUUUAAAAAGACUCCGUGUUUUUAUUUAGAAAGAAUUGUUAAUUUAUUUGUUAACUGGUUUCGGCUGUCUCCAGACAAGUCAGGAAUAUUUUGCUGACUCAUUUUU